RNAcentral lists this ribosomal RNA (494 nucleotides) under uncultured bacterium. RNAcentral's name for it is "partial 16S ribosomal RNA". It matches the Rfam family "Bacterial small subunit ribosomal RNA", at positions 28 to 507 of the family's 1533-position model. The record is from RNAcentral.
GACGAACGCUGGCGGCGUGCUUAACACAUGCAAGUCGAACGGUGAAGCGCCUUCCUUUUUGGUGGGUGUGGAUGAGUGGCGAACGGGUGAGUAACACGUGAGUAACCUGCCCCCUUCUUCUGGAUAACCGCAUGAAAGUGUGGCUAAUACGGGAUAUUCUGGGUCUGUCGCAUGAUGGGUCUGGGAAAGAUAUUGUUUCGGUGGGGGAUGGGCUCGCGGCCUAUCAGCUUGUUGGUGGGGUGAUGGCCUACCAAGGCGGUGACGGGUAGCCGGCCUGAGAGGGUGGGCGGUCACACUGGGACUGAGACACGGAGAAGACUACUACAGGAGGCAGCAGUGGGGAAUAUUGAACGAUGGGCGCAAGGCUGAUGCAGCGACGCCGCGUGAGGGAUGGAGGCCCUCGGGUUGUGAACCUCUUUCGCCAGUGAAGCAGGCCUGCCUCGUUUGUGGGUGGGUUGACGGUAGCUGGAUAAGAAGCGCCGGCUAACUACGUG